UACGGGGGGGGCAAGCGUUGUUCGGAAUUACUGGGCGUAAAGGGCUCGUAGGCGGCCAACUAAGUCAUACGUGAAAUCCCUCGGCUUAACCGGGGAACUGCGUCUGAUACUGGAUGGCUUGAGUUCGGGAGAGGGAUGCGGAAUUCCAGGUGUAGCGGUGAAAUGCAUAGAUACCAUCAAGAACACCGAUUGCGAAGGCAGCUUACUAAGCUGUAACUGACGCUGAUGCACGAAAGCGUGGGGAUCGAACAGG
This 253-nucleotide ribosomal RNA is filed under the name uncultured bacterium. RNAcentral's name for it is "partial 16S ribosomal RNA". It matches the Rfam family "Bacterial small subunit ribosomal RNA", at positions 524 to 776 of the family's 1533-position model. The record is from RNAcentral.